UGGAGCGGCCGUCGGCGGCGCGGCGGGGGCGCCUCGCUCGGCGGUCUUCGUCCUUUAUGAAGAAGCUUUGUUGCCAAGACUUGCUGUGAAGAUGACCCAUACUACUGAAUGCAGUUGUCUGCAAAUGUAGGAGCCAACAAAUGCUAUGUCCUGCCCUCCCUUGACUUUCCUCUUUCUCAUGGAAUAUAUAUUUCUAAAGUAUUUCUAGAUCUUUACUGAAGAUGUUUGGAUUAUAGCUAUGAGCGUAUCUAUGCAAGCAGAUGAGCAAGCCUGAGCAAUGCUGAGUUUUGUUCAGUGGAGGGACUGCUGUAUGUCAGCCAUGCUAAAGGGCAAGUGAUGGAGGCAAG
Molecule: non-coding RNA, 347 nt
Organism: Phasianus colchicus (ring-necked pheasant)
Lineage: Eukaryota; Metazoa; Chordata; Aves; Galliformes; Phasianidae
Source: RefSeq, a predicted model, not a curated record